UUUCAACAACGGAUCUCUUGGCUCUGGCAUCGAUGAAGAACGCANCGAAAUGCGAUAAGUAAUGUGAAUUGCANAAUUCAGUGAAUCAUCGAAUCUUUGAACGCACAUUGCGCCCCUUGGUAUUCCGAGGGGCAUGCCUAUUCNAGCGUCAUUA
RNAcentral lists this ribosomal RNA (154 nucleotides) under Tetracladium marchalianum. RNAcentral describes it as "5.8S ribosomal RNA". It matches the Rfam family "5.8S ribosomal RNA". From Rfam's summary of the family: 5.8S ribosomal RNA (5.8S rRNA) is a component of the large subunit of the eukaryotic ribosome. It is transcribed by RNA polymerase I as part of the 45S precursor that also contains 18S and 28S rRNA. Lineage: Eukaryota; Fungi; Ascomycota; Leotiomycetes; Helotiales. The record is from RNAcentral.